RNAcentral lists this ribosomal RNA (496 nucleotides) under uncultured bacterium. RNAcentral's name for it is "partial 16S ribosomal RNA". It matches the Rfam family "Bacterial small subunit ribosomal RNA", at positions 29 to 507 of the family's 1533-position model. The record is from RNAcentral.
AUGAACGCUGGCGGCGUGCCUAAUACAUGCAAGUCGAGCGAACAGACGAGGAGCUUGCUCCUCUGACGUUAGCGGCGGACGGGUGAGUAACCCGUGGAUAACCUACCUAUAAGACUGGGAUAACUUCGGGAAACCGGAGCUAAUACCGGAUAAUAUAUUGAACCGCAUGGUUCAAUAGUGAAAGACGGUUUUGCUGUCACUUAUAGAUGGAUCCGCGCCGCAUUAGCUAGUUGGUAAGGUAACGGCUUACCAAGGCAACGAUGCGUAGCCGACCUGAGAGGGGGAUCGGCCACACUGGAACUGAGACACGGUCCAGACUCCUACGGGAGGCAGCAGUAGGGAAUCUGCCGCAAUGGGCGAAAGCCUGACGGAGCAACGCCGCGUGAGUGAUGAAGGUCUUCGGAUCGUAAAACUCUGUUAUUAGGGAAGAACAAAUGUGUAAGUAACUAUGCACGUCUUGACGGUACCUAAUCAGAAAGCCACGGCUAACUACGUG